RNAcentral lists this long non-coding RNA (2920 nucleotides) under Taeniopygia guttata (zebra finch). Its description in RNAcentral is "lncRNA (ENSTGUG00000019738.1)". The record is from RNAcentral. Lineage: Eukaryota; Metazoa; Chordata; Aves; Passeriformes; Estrildidae.
GGGACACAGAGCCCUGGGGAGCCCAUUGCUCAGGAGGGAGCAGCUCCGGAUCCCUGUGCCCCAACAAUGUCAGAUGCAGAGGAGGGCAGGUGAACCCCAAUUCUCAGCCCCCCAGCCCCUGGCCUGGCUGCCUGCACAACCUCAUGGGCAGUGGCUGGGGGCAGGUCAGUGACCCUGUGGGACACUGAGGAGGAGGGGACCUUUGCCCACAUGGACAAAGACUGGGAAUAUGACACGGAUCAAGAGCUUUCCCAAUGGAGAGGUGCUACCAGCCAAGAGUUUUGCCUUUGGGAAGAAGUGACAGUCCAAGAGUAUUACCAACAAGACGUGAGGAUCCAGGACGUUUCCCCACGGGGAGCGGUGAGACGCCGAGAGCUGCACCAGAGGGAGGUGAGUGUGAGAGUCCAGUGGGGAGAUGGCACACAGCAAGAGCUGUACCAGUGGGAAGAAAGUGUGACAAUCCAGGAGUCGUACCAACCGGACAAAGAGGAUGAGACACACCAAGAGCUGUCCCAGCGGGAAGGGCAGGCAUACCAGGAACUGUCUCCUUUGGAAGAAGUGCGAGGCCAUCCCCAAACGUUCCAACGGGAAGGAGACAGGGGAAUCCCAGAGUUGUCCCAAGUGGGAGACAACAGGGACAAGGACCUAUCACAAGGAAAAGACUACAAUGUCCAGGAGCUGCCCCAAUGGGAAAAAGACAGGAGCAGCCAAAAGCUGCCCCAACGGGAAGGAGGUGUCAGCAGCCAGGGGCUGUCCCACUGGGCAGAAGGCAUCAAUUACAAGAUACAGGACAAACCCUUGCACCCAGAGAAGGAUGAGAAUGCCCAAGCUUGUGCCCAGGAGGGCCCUGGCUCUACCAGCAGUAUGGGCACCGAGGUGGCAGGAGAGGCAGCCCAUGAGCUGCCCAGCACCUCUUCUGCCCUGCGGAGUCCCAUGGAGGAUGAGCUGGCAGCGGCUGCUGCCCCAGCAGGAGCUGCUGAGGAGGAAGAGCCCCUUGAGCCUCUGCCUGCCAAGCUGGAAAAGGCACCAGGUUCUCCUGCCCUCAGGGAGGAGGAGCCAUUGGCAGAGAGCCCAGUCCCUGCUCCAUGCAGCCCGGAUUCGUUGGAUUUAGCGAGGCACAUCAGCUCUGAGAUCAUGCACAAGGCUGAGUUUAUGGGAUCUGGCCAGCAGCCAGAGGAACAGAGGGACCUGGAGCAGAGCACAGCUGCUGAACUAGAAGCAGCAACUGCAGCAGGAAGAAGGAAAGAGAGCCCAAUCUCAGCCCCACAAAGCCCCUGCUUUGUGGGCUGCUGCCUCCCCUUCUCCAUCCUACUGGGCCGCCAAGCCCGCAGUGAGGAGCAGGAGGAAGCAGACAAGGGAUCAGUCCUGGCAGAGCAACAGCCUGAGGGGGAGGCCUCAGCUGAGGAGCUUGAGCAUUCUCAGUGCAAAGAUGAGGAACACACAGAGCUGUCCCAGGGAGAAAUCAACAAAUACCAACAAGGGUCCCAAGGAGAAGCCUCAACUGAGCAGGACCUGUCCCUAGAAGGAGCUGGUAGAUACCAGGACUUGUCCCCAGGGAAAGCCUGCACUGAGCAGGAACUGUCCCUAAAAGAAACCAGUAGCUACAAGGAAGGGUCUCAAGGGGAAGCCAGAAUUGAGCAAGAACUGUCCCCAGAAGAAGCAGAUAGGUACCAGGAAGGGUCCCAACGAGAAGCCAGCAGUGAGCAGGAGCUCUCCUUAGAAGAAGCCCAAAGCCACCACGAGCUCUCCGACUGGGAUGAAUGCAUCCCAGAAGAGCUGUCCUGUGGUUAUGCUGGUAGCUACCAAGAAAUUUCAGACUGGGAAGAAGGCAUGGAGCAGGACCUGUCCUUAGAAGAAGCCCAAAGCCAUCACAAACUCUCUGACUGGGAUGAAUGCACUGCAGAAGAGCUGCCCCAUGGGGAUGUUGGCAGCUACCAAGCAAUGACAGACUGGGAAGAAGGCACAGAGCAAGGCCUUUCCCAAGGACAAGUCGGUAGCUCCCAGAAUCUCUCUGACUGGGAAGAAUACAGCGAGCAUGAGCUGCCCUACGGAGACAUCAGUAGCUACCAAGAAGUGUCAGAUUGGGAAGAAUCCAUUGGCCAAGAGGUAUCCAAGAAACGUCCCUCCCGCCUGCGCCGGGCAGUGCAGAGGCUGCUCUGCUGCCCCUGCCUGGCCCCACAGCCAGAUUAGGGCUGGCUGCCAGCUCUAGCCCGGGCCCUGCAGAUGGCAGCUGCCCCACAGCCUGCCCCGCGCCCUGGGGCAGCCCCACGGGCUGGCUUUGCCUGGGAAUAUGACACGGAUCAAGAGCUUUCCCAAUGGAGAGCAAUCCCCAGCUCUGUGGAGCAUCCCAAGCUGGCCUCCCCAAGAGCAAAUAUUACCCGUGUGGCCAAACCUGCACCCCUGGGGGACACUUGGGGCCAUGGCACUCAGUGAUGAAGGCCACAGACUCACCAGGGUGGGAAGAGACCUUGAGGGUCAUCCAGUCCCACCAUCACCCUGGCACCACCUUCAUCACCCUGAAACAUGUCCCCAAGUGCCACAGCCAGAUGACACUUGACAUUUCCAGUGAUAGAGACUCCACUACCUCCCUGAGGAACUUCUUGCAAUCAAUGCCUGACCACGCUGUCAGAGAAAAAUCAUUUUGAAUAUUUCAUUGGGACCUCCCCUGGUGGAAUCCAAGGACAUUUCCUCUCAUCCUGAAAGGAUUACAAGCUGAUCCUUUGGAAUUUUAUCCAUGAGGAAUGGGCACAGACAGGUGUUGCUCCCAGGACUCCAUUGCACGCUGCAUGACUUCACCAAACACAAUUCAUCCAAAACAGAUGGAAGCUGGUUUUAGAAAUAAUAACAUUAGUAAAUAAAAACCCCAAAACAAAAACAAAACAAAAAGCCACCACCAAAACACAACCAGGAAAAAAAAAAA